UUAGGUGUAGGUUAUUUAGACUUUCAAUUUUCAAAAUUGAGUGUAAUUUUUUUUAUUUCUUCUAAG
Molecule: transfer RNA, 66 nt
Filed under: Dugesia japonica
Lineage: Eukaryota; Metazoa; Platyhelminthes; Tricladida; Dugesiidae
Description: tRNA-Trp
Source: RNAcentral